This 61-nucleotide transfer RNA is filed under the name Marmota marmota marmota (Alpine marmot). It matches the Rfam family "tRNA", at positions 6 to 65 of the family's 71-position model. From Rfam's summary of the family: Transfer RNA (tRNA) molecules are approximately 80 nucleotides in length. Their secondary structure includes four short double-helical elements and three loops (D, anti-codon, and T loops). Further hydrogen bonds mediate the characteristic L-shaped molecular structure. tRNAs have two regions of fundamental functional importance: the anti-codon, which is responsible for specific mRNA codon recognition, and the 3' end, to which the tRNAs corresponding amino acid is attached (by aminoacyl-tRNA synthetases). tRNAs cope with the degeneracy of the genetic code in two manners: having more than one tRNA (with a specific anti-codon) for a particular amino acid; and 'wobble' base-pairing, i.e. permitting non-standard base-pairing at the 3rd anti-codon position. The record is from Rfam by way of RNAcentral. Lineage: Eukaryota; Metazoa; Chordata; Mammalia; Rodentia; Sciuridae. RNAcentral also lists the same sequence under 1 other name.
UGUAGCUCAGUGGUACAGCAUGUGUCUAACAUGCACAAGGCCCUGGGUUCAAACCCCACCA